This 734-nucleotide long non-coding RNA is filed under the name Marmota monax (woodchuck). Lineage: Eukaryota; Metazoa; Chordata; Mammalia; Rodentia; Sciuridae. The record is from RNAcentral.
GCUGUAUUAAAAUUUUCAUUUACAUAAGUAGCCCGAAAGAGGGGUUACACGCACUAGUUCUAUAUAAGAAAAUAUGCUUUGAGUGUUUUAAUUUAAAUUGAAGAAAAAUCUUCAGAUUCUUAAUGCAGAAGAAAUUUUUCGACUUCACUUGUAUUCAGAGACAUUCGAAUGAAAACAGCAAACUGUAUAACACCCAUCAGACUGGCAGAAUAAGAAAGCUAGUGUCUGAGUCCCCUAGUACUGUGACAGCAAAAGGUUCCAGAGCCACCUGUUUGUUGGCUUACGAACAAGAUACUGCCCUCUGUUCUAGGCUAAGCAGUCCAGUAUGAUCCAUUUCCUUGUUCACUGAACAGUGAACCUCAAGCUGUGUCCUAAGACUGCAGAAGGGGCAGGCAGAGCUCUGGGACCUCCACUAUUAAAGCCCUGAUCCCAUUGUAAAAUCCUUGAACUGGUGACCUGAUCUCCUCCUGAGGCCCUGGCUCUCAGCACCAUCACUUGGGGGAUUGGGCUUCAACAUAUGAAUUUUGGCACGACAGGAACAUUCCAUCCAAAGCACCAAAUGUAACUGUGCCUUGGUAGGAAGUGGAGAGACCCAUGUGCUGAGGUGGCCCUUUGCCAUGACUUUGUACAAGAUGGAUUGGAGAACCACCAGCCAUCUCUCCCAUGCCAGGCCCGUGCCCCAAGGAAGCCUACAGAUCCAUGAAGUCAUAUUCAUGAUAAUAGGAAGGCAGGGA